GGGGGUGUAGCUCAGUUGGUUAGAGCACCUGCCUGUCACGCAGGGGGCCGCGAGUUCGAGUCUCGUCACUCCCG
RNAcentral lists this transfer RNA (74 nucleotides) under Spirochaetota bacterium. Its description in RNAcentral is "Spirochaetes bacterium (freshwater sediment metagenome) tRNA-Asp". It matches the Rfam family "tRNA". From Rfam's summary of the family: Transfer RNA (tRNA) molecules are approximately 80 nucleotides in length. Their secondary structure includes four short double-helical elements and three loops (D, anti-codon, and T loops). The record is from RNAcentral. Lineage: Bacteria; Pseudomonadati; Spirochaetota.